This is a non-coding RNA of Anguilla rostrata (American eel), 2653 nucleotides long. The record is from the annotation of a RefSeq genome assembly. Lineage: Eukaryota; Metazoa; Chordata; Actinopteri; Anguilliformes; Anguillidae.
ACUGUUGUUGGAGGCUGACUGAAGGAUUGUCAUCACAGACUGCAGUGAAAGACAUUUACCAUGAUCACUACAACCAGCCUACUUUUGAUUACUGUGUUCUUUACAAGUAUUGAAUGUCAGACACUGACUGAGUCUGAACCAGCAGUUAAAAAGCCUGGAGAAUCCCACACACUGACCUGUACAGCCUCUGGGUUCAUAUUCAACGACUCCUAUAUGAGCUGGAUCAGACAGGCUCCUGGGAAGGGACUGGAGUGGGUGGCCUGCAUCAGUAGUGGUGGUAGAACAUAUUAUGGCAGUACUCAAAAGGGAUUCACCAUCUCCAGAGACAACAGCAAGAACCAGCUGUAUUUACAGAUUAACAACUUAACAGCUGAAGACACUGCUGUGUAUUACUAUCACUGUGUGGGGUAUGGGUGGAGCUUUGACUACAGGGGUAAAGGCACUCAAGUCACUGUUACCAAAGACACACCGAGUGCACCAACCUCCCUCUUCCCUCUAAUGACAUGUGAGCAGCAAGGCCCCACCCUGACCCUGGCCUGCAUUGCCGGUGGAUUUCUGCCUUCUUCCUCUGUGACCUUCCAGUGGAAGGACACCAGUGGAAUGGCCGUGUCUGACUUCACUCAGUACCCAGCAGUGCAUAACAGCGGAUCUGGAUCCUACACAAGCGUCAGUCAUCUCAGUGUAAAUGCGGCAGAUUGGGAUGCUCGGAAGUCCUACAGUUGUUCCGUGAACCAUUCGUCACUGCCCGGGGAAAAGGACGCCAGUUUCCUGAAACCAGACCAGUCCUCAGACACACCCUGUCUGGAGGUGACCCUGAAUCCCCCAAAGGCGAGAGAAUUGUUUGUAAAUAACCAGGUUGUGCUGGACUGCGUUAUCACUGGGGGAGAGAGGGCAGCAGUGGAGGGAGCCAGCGUUACCUGGACACCGAGUGGAACAGGCACCUCGAGCAAAGAGAGUCAGAUCACUCAGCACGGACAUGUGUUCAGGAAGACCAGCACUCUGACUCUGGGACAGGAACGCUGGUUCACCGAGCAAAAUGUUCAGUGCUCUGUCCAACAGCAGAACAGCAAAAAGCCGGCCAUCAAAAAAUCUUUCAGCCUGAACACCAACGCGUCAAAAGUUCCCGAGGUGGUUUUAAUCACACCCAUAAAACAGGACAGCGAGUUUGUCACCCUGGUCUGUGUAGUGACAGGCUUCUCUCCCUGGGAUGUGUUCGUCAUGUGGACAGUGGAUAAUGGAUCCUAUGAAGAGGGCGUCACCAGUGAGCCUGUGGACCGCGACAAUGGCAUCUUCUCUGUCACAAGUUUGUUCAAAGUCUCGACAGCGGAUUGGAAGUCCCAGUCCAAAGUCACCUGCAAUGUGAAGCACAUUUCUAUGCCCGAUGGAGCAGCCCCUCUCACAAAAUCUGUGUCCAUAGCAACUGAAACAGUAUCAGCACUGAAUUGCAAUGAGGAAGGUGAGGAAGAAGAUGAGCUUGGCAGUCUGUGGUCCACCACCUCCUCCUUCAUCACUCUCUUCCUCUGCACUGUCAUCUACAGCACCCUCCUCACUUUGAUCAAGAUGAAGAAGUGAUGUGCUGUACAGUGCAACACAUGGAAGAUGGGGUGAAAGCUUAUUUUUUGAAUGUAUUAAUAGUUACAUGUCAAAAGUGUGUUGUAUAGAAUAUUGUGUCAUGUUUUCUUGAGCUGAAUCUCUCUGUUUUUUCCAUUACUCCACAGUGUCUAUGUUUAGAUUUCUUUCAUUACCUAAUUAGUGAAAUGUCUAUAAAUCCUGUUUAUACCAGUGUUUUCUGUGGACAUCAGACCCACAGUGCAGCACAUAAUUGGCUGCAGUUUAGUCCUAGGAGGAAAGGUUUUAGUUGGCAGUCCUGUACUCAACCCACUAAGCAAAAAAAAAGCACAGCUCUGAUGGAUCCCGCCUGCAAAUUUCUCCGCUACACCCAUGACUGGAACUCCAGCGCUGCUACCGUUGGAGCCGCCCUGUGUCCGCUGCACAUGAAGUGCACUCUUCUGUCCCACUGAGAGCUGAGCCGCUCUGGGGCCACAGAGUGAAAGAGGUCAGCAGAGCCGCUCUGGGGCCACAGAGUGAAAGAGCUCAGCAGAGCCGCUCUGGGGCCACAGAGUGAAAGAGGUCAGCAGAGCCGCUCUGGGGCCACAGAGUGAAAGAGGUCAGCAGAUGGGAGCGCACAGUUUGGAGGAGAGUGUGUGCUGGCUUGUGUGCGCAUCCUCCAAUUCACAAUGCAGUAGCGUAUCAUAAUAAAUCAUUACAGUGUUAUUGGUUUUGAUAUUUUACCUCUUACAAUAAAUAAGCCAGUAACUAUCCAUUUGAAAUAGCAUAUAUUUAACAUUUUAUCACCCAAGAAGUUAGUGAAUAUUUUCAUAAGCUCUAAAAGAUUAAAGAGAAGCGUUGGUCCUUAAAAAUCUCUCAGUGUCUGAAAUGCUGUUUCUGACAUGUAGAGCUGGCCGGAGUGCAGUGUACAGGGCUGCAGAGGGAGGUGUGCUCUGUAUAUUUAACCAGACUGAGAGUGAAAGCUGCAUAUCAGAGUUUAGCAGAGCUAAGGCUUCACAGUCAAACCUGAACACUCUCAUCAUAUUGCGUGUCACUCUCAGCUAACAUGUAGUAUUUGUGUAAAAUGCAUGAAAUGUAAUGAAUA